Mobula hypostoma (lesser devil ray) is the source of this 4254-nucleotide long non-coding RNA. RefSeq lists it as uncharacterized. The record is from RefSeq and is a predicted model, not a curated record. The transcript has 3 exons. Lineage: Eukaryota; Metazoa; Chordata; Chondrichthyes; Myliobatiformes; Myliobatidae.
CUGUGUUCUGCCAAGCAUUGCGGGUAUGCCAUGUUGAUGCCAGAAUGUGAAGUGACAUGCUAAUGGAGAUGAGAAGUUGGUGACCUUGUCUUUCCGUUAGACAGACGAGCAGGAUUGUGUCAUUGAGCCCUGUUAAGUCUGAUACACCAUUCGAUCAUGGCUGAUUUAUUAUCCCGCUCCUGCCUUCUCUCCUCCCCCCCAACCUUUGAUGACCUUGAUGAAGAAGGCAGAGUUUGUCAUCAAAAACAGAAGGUCUUGAGGAAUUAUCUCCUAUCUUUGGUCAGCUGCCUGAUGUUAGACAAUGGUUUCCAAUGCUGUGUGGGUGUAUUUGAGUGCUUUAUUGCAUUGAACAGCAAGUUAGUCCUGACGAAGGGUCUCGGCCUGAAACGUCGACUGCGCCUCUUCCUAUAGAUGCUGCCUGGCCUGCUGCGUUCACCAGCAACUUUGAUGUGUGUUGCUUACCAGGAAAUGGUUAUCUCCGGAGAGCCCAACUUUAAAUGUAUGGAUGGAAAUUACAAUGGACAUUUACAAAAUGGAGAAGAUAACAACAUCUGUUAAUCAUAAAUUGGAACAAUUUUAUUCAUACUGGAAAAGAUGGUUUAAUUACAUAACAUCUUAUAGGCCUGAUUUUAUUCUCACAAUCAAUGAAUAUGUUGUUUAAAAAAUCACUCCCUACUCUGUACAUAGUUUUCUUCUUUCUAUAGUAUACUUCAGAUAAACAUUGUGGAGAUUUGUGACAGAUAUGAUUAUAUGAUAUAUAUGUACAGUAUCUGAAAUAUAUCUUAUGGAAAUGUUUGACGAUGAAAUUCAAAAAAAAAAUUACAAAAAUAGAAAUGAAUGCCAUCAUUUCAUUUGCCUUCUUUGCCACCGACUCACCCUGGAGGUUAACCAUUAGGGUAUCCUGCACAAGGACUCCCAAGUCCCUUUGCAUAUCUGCAUUUUGAAUUCUCUCCCCAUCUAAAUAACAGGCUGCCCGUUUAUUUCUUCCACCAAAGUGCAUGACCAUACACUUUCCAACAUUGUAAGACUCCCUGUUUCCUCAGCAUUACCUGCCCACUCACUGUUUGCAUCAUCUGCAAACUUGACCAAAAAGCCCUGAAUUCCAUCAUCCAGAUCAUUAAAACAUAAUAUGAAAAGCAGCAGACCAACAGACUGAUUGGAACACUACCAAUCACCAGCAGUCAACAGAAAAGACUCCCUUUGUUCACACAAUUUGCUUUCUGCCAGUCAGCCAAUCUUCUGUCCAUGCUAGUAUCUCUCCUUAGGUUCUUAUCUUGUUUAGCAGCCGCAUGUGUGGCACCUUGUCAGAGGUCUUCUGAAAUUUAAUAUCCACUAAUUCUUCUCUGUCUGUCCUGCCUGUUAUUUCCUCAAAGGAUUCCAACAAAUUUGUCAGGUAUGAUUUCCCCUCAAGGAAACCAUGCUGAUUACAGCCUAUUUUAUCAUGUGUCUUCAUGUCUUUUGCCUCCAUUCCUUCUUGAAGUGUGGAGUGACAUUUGCAAUUUCCAAUCUUCCAGAAACAUUCCAGAAUCUAGUGAUUCUUGAAAAAUCAUUACUAAUGCCUCCACAAUCUUUUCAUCUUUCAGAACCAUGAAAUGAAAUCAUUCUGGUCCAGGUGACUUCUAUACCUUUACACCUUUCAGCAUCCCAUGGUACUUCUCAGUAAUAGCAACCAUACUGAUUCUUCCACCCGACACACUUGAAUUUCUGACAUGUGACAUGAAAUACUUAUUCAGUUCACCCACCAUUUCUUUGCUCCACAUUACUAUGCCUUCUCCAGUGUCAUUUCCUAGUGGUCCAAAGUCCACUUUCGUUCUUCAUAUACCUGAAAAAAAAACUUCUGGUAUCCUCUUCUAUAUUGGCUAGCUUAUCUUUUCACUCUUUAAUGCAGUUUUAGUUGCCUUCCGUUGGUUUUGAAAAGCUCCCAAGCUUCCCACUAAUUUUGCAAUAUUGCAUGCCUACUCUUUAGCUUACAUGCUGUCUUUGACUUGCCUUGUCAGCCAUAAUUACCUCAUCCUCCCUUUAGAAUACCGCUUCUUCUUUGGUAUGAACUGAUCCUGCGUCUUCCGAGCUAUUCCCAGAAGACUGCCGGUUUGAAGGUUAAUAGGUCUUUGUAAUUUGUCCUGUGAUUAGGCUACGAUUAAAUUGGGGGGGGGGGGGGUGUGGAAUCACUCAGCUCAAAAGGUCAGAAGGGCGUAUUCCGUGUUGUAUCACAAUAAAUGAGUAAGUGAUAAGGAACUAUGGUGAUUUGUGCUUUGGCUUGCAGCAAUUUCUUUUUUAGCAUUUUAAAAAUAUGAGUUAAUGUGUUGAAAGAAUGAUUUCAAAUGCCAACAUUGAUCCCACUGCUAGUCAGAGUACAAAAUCUCCUGUUCUACUGCUGUCCAAUGAUCAUGGACACUAGAACUACCUCUAACACAUGAGCAUCAGCUGAGACAAUACGUUAAAAGUAACUCCAGCAUGUGAUGUCACAAGACGAUGUGGCACUUGAGGCCAAAACUAUUUUAAAAUGUUGCAUGCGUCUUACUCAGAGGUUAAAAUGCAAUUGGAAUUUUUAGUCCUUUCUACACGUUUUAAUGAAAUGGAGAUCUACGUUAACAAAAUGACACUUCAUUAGAUGGAAAAAUUGUUCUAGCAAGUGGUGUUGUUCAACUAUAAUUACUUUUUUGGGAGAUGGGCACAAUAAUAAAUGGUCUACAACUAUUAUUCAGGAAUCUGUCUUCAUGAUUUCUGGGUAAGUACCUCCAACAGUCUUUUAAAAUUAGUGUAGUUUGUAUGUUGUAAUUUCAACUUGACAUACAAAGUUCCAUAAGCCCCUGGGAUCAAAUUUAUCAGCCAUACACAUUACAUAUACAAUUAAUUUACUGUGGUGCUGGUCAGGGUGUGACAUGCAACAAAAAAAACAUUGAACAAUUAUAAUAAUUAUACAAAAUCAAGAUUUGGAAUAAAAUGUACAUAAAUACCGAUAUGUAUUUACAAUGUAAACAGCAUUACAAAACAUUUAAAAGAGGUUGCAGCGCAGUGAUGGGGGGUGGGCGGGAGAGAAGAAGAAUAAAUAGAGGGUGGGGUCAAACUUGAACGGUUGAUCAGAUCAACUGCCUGGGGGAAGAAACUUUUAAGAUGGCGUGAAGUUCAUACAAGUCCUGUGGUGUUGGUCGAUUACAGCCAAUGACCAUUCUCUACACUUGAGUAUUUAGCAUUUCAACUUGGUUUUGUAUCUUGCACUACUUUUUGUUGUGUAAACUAGAUCCACCCAGUGGGUUUUGUUCAGAGGACAGCAGUGGUGACAGAGAUUUGCUGUCAUCUGCAAACACCUACAUCUACCACAAAUUCCAAAUUUCAUCUCCAUUGCUAAUCUGAAGCUAUACUAGACCCAGGAAGCUUGACAUUCAAUUUACAUCCAAGUUUCAAUCUUCACUCAGGCCAGAGAUUCAUUUUCUUGUAGGCAUUCACAAUAGAAUAAAGAAAGAAAUAGAAUCAAUUAAAAACGGCACACAGAGUGACAAUCCAUGUGCAAAAGAAAAACUGUGCAAAUGCAAAAGAAACAAUAAUAAUAGUAAUAAAAUAUGUCAAUAAUUAAUACUGAGAACACAAGCUGCAGAGUCCUUGAAAGCAAGUCCAUAAGUUGUGGAAUCAUUUGCCAAGUGCUAAGUAUUGACCAAUUCCAAAAUGGUAAGACUGUAACCACAUACCCAUUGUAUUCAAUGGCAUCACAAUCUUGAACAGCUGGUUGACCCACUUGAAUAUAGUUCAAGUUAAUGAUCAAAGUACAUAAAUGUCUCUUUAUACUACCUUGAGAUUCAUUUUCUUGUGGGCAUUCACAGAUACAAAGAAACACAAUAAAAUCACUGAAAAUCUACAAAGCCAGACAGCCAAAUUGUGCAAAUACAAAAGAAAAAUUAACAAUAAAUAAAUAAAUGAUGCUGAGAACAUGAGUUGUAGAGUCUUUGAAAGUGAAUCAGUUCAGUGCUGAGGUGAGUGAAGUUAUCCACACUGGUUCAGGAGCCUGAUGGUUGAAAUGUAAUAACUGAUCUUGAACCUGGUGGGGUGGGACAUCCAGAUGGCAGCUGUGAGAAGAGAGCAUGGCCUGGAUGGUGAGGGUCCUUUAUGAUGGAUGCUUUCUUCAGGCAAUGUUCCUUGGUAGAUGUUUUCUGUGAUGGACUGAGCAGUAUCCACCACUUGUGUUUUUUCCAUUCUUGGGCAUUGGUGUUUCCAUUCCAGGUCAUGAUGCAACUAGCCAGGAUACUCUGCACUGGGCAU